UACGGAGGAUGCAAGCGUUAUCCGGAUUUAUUGGGUUUAAAGGGUGCGUAGGCGGAUGCUUAAGCGUGAGGUGAAAUGCCCGGGCUCAACCUGGGAACUGCCUCGCGAACUGGGUAUCUGGAAUGUCCGUGCCGUGGGAGGAAUGUGUGGUGUAGCGGUGAAAUGCAUAGAGAUCACACAGAACACCGAUUGCGAAGGCAUCUCACGAACGGAUGAUUGACGCUGAGGCACGAAAGCGUGGGGAU
Molecule: ribosomal RNA, 245 nt
Filed under: uncultured Porphyromonadaceae bacterium
Lineage: Bacteria; Pseudomonadati; Bacteroidota; Bacteroidia; Bacteroidales; Porphyromonadaceae
Description: partial 16S ribosomal RNA
Rfam family: Bacterial small subunit ribosomal RNA
Source: RNAcentral